AGAGUUUGAUCCUGGCUCAGGAUGAACGCUGGCGGCGUGCUUAAUACAUGCAAGUCGAACGAAGGAUUAGCAAUAGUUCUUAGUGGCGAACGGGUGAGUAACGCGUUGGUGAUCUGUCCCGAAGAUGGGGAUAACAGCUCGAAAGGGCUGCUAAUACCCGAUGUGGUUAUCGAGGUUAGAGGCUUGGUAACUGAAGGAGCAAUUCGCUUUGGGAGGGACCUGCGUCCCAUCAGCUAGUUGGUGAGGUAACGGCUCACCAAGGCGACGACGGGUAGGGGACCUGAGAGGGUGGCCCCCCACAAUGGAACUGAAACACGGUCCAUACACCUACGGGUGGCAGCAGUAGGGAAUAUUGGUCAAUGGGCGAAAGCCUGAACCAGCAACGCCGCGUGUGCGAUGAAGGCCUUCGGGUCGUAAAGCACUUUUCUGGGAGAUGAGAAAGGACAGUAUCCCAGGAAUAAGUCU
This 465-nucleotide ribosomal RNA is filed under the name uncultured bacterium. RNAcentral describes it as "bacterial SSU rRNA". It matches the Rfam family "Bacterial small subunit ribosomal RNA", at positions 8 to 493 of the family's 1533-position model. The record is from RNAcentral.